UGCAACUCGACUACAUGAAGCUGGAAUCGCUAGUAAUCGCGGAUCAGAAUGCCGCGGUGAAUACGUUCCCGGGUCUUGUACACACCGCCCGUCACACCAUGGGAGUCGGAAAUGCCCGAAGUCUGUGACCGAACCGAAAGGAAGGAGCAGCCGAAGGCAGGUCGGAUGACUGGGGUGAAGUCGUAACAAGGUAUC
This 195-nucleotide ribosomal RNA is filed under the name uncultured bacterium. Its description in RNAcentral is "partial 16S ribosomal RNA". It matches the Rfam family "Bacterial small subunit ribosomal RNA", at positions 1306 to 1500 of the family's 1533-position model. The record is from RNAcentral.